AAAUUGAAGAGUUUGAUCAUGGCUCAGAUUGAACGCUGGCGGCAGGCCUAACACAUGCAAGUCGAGCGGCAGCGGAAAGUAGCUUGCUACUUUGCCGGCGAGCGGCGGACGGGUGAGUAAUGUCUGGGAAACUGCCUGAUGGAGGGGGAUAACUACUGGAAACGGUAGCUAAUACCGCAUAACGUCGCAAGACCAAAGAGGGGGACCUUCGGGCCUCUUGCCAUCAGAUGUGCCCAGAUGGGAUUAGCUAGUAGGUGGGGUAAUGGCUCACCUAGGCGACGAUCCCUAGCUGGUCUGAGAGGAUGACCAGCCACACUGGAACUGAGACACGGUCCAGACUCCUACGGGAGGCAGCAGUGGGGAAUAUUGCACAAUGGGCGCAAGCCUGAUGCAGCCAUGCCGCGUGUAUGAAGAAGGCCUUCGGGUUGUAAAGUACUUUCAGCGGGGAGGAAGGUGCUGAGGUUAAUAACCUCAGCAAUUGACGUUACCCGCAGAAGAAGCACCGGCUAACUCCGUGCCAGCAGCCGCGGUAAUACGGAG
RNAcentral lists this ribosomal RNA (540 nucleotides) under Enterobacter asburiae. RNAcentral describes it as "bacterial SSU rRNA". It matches the Rfam family "Bacterial small subunit ribosomal RNA", at positions 1 to 530 of the family's 1533-position model. Lineage: Bacteria; Pseudomonadati; Pseudomonadota; Gammaproteobacteria; Enterobacterales; Enterobacteriaceae. The record is from RNAcentral.